GACGAACGCUGGCGGCGUGCCUAAUACAUGCAAGUCGAACGCAGUGGGGCCGGGUGAGUAACACGUGGGUAACCUCCCAUCAGAGGGGAUACACCUUGGAAACAGGUGCUCAACCGAUACUGAUGGAUGGACCCGCGUGGCAUUAGCUAGUGGGUGAGGUAACGGCUCACCAAGGCCACGAUGCAUAGUCGACCGGAGAGGGUGAUAGGUCACACUGGAACUGAGACACGGCCCAGACUCCUACGGGAGGCAGCAGUAGGGAAUCUUCGGCAAUGGGCGAAAGUCUGAUCGAGCAACGCCGCGUGUGUGAAGAAGGUUUUCGGAUCGUAAAACUCUGUUAUUAGAGAAGCGUUAUCUAACGAUAAAGCCACGGCUAACUACGUGCCAGCCGCCGCGGUAAUUC
Molecule: ribosomal RNA, 403 nt
Filed under: uncultured bacterium
Lineage: Bacteria
Description: partial 16S ribosomal RNA
Rfam family: Bacterial small subunit ribosomal RNA
Source: RNAcentral